AGCUUUCUGAAUUCGUGCUGAGAUUUCAUCAGACACCAGACCAUAAGGAUUGAUCGGACUCUUAAGAUAAAUGAAGCA
Molecule: non-coding RNA, 78 nt
Organism: Schistosoma curassoni
Lineage: Eukaryota; Metazoa; Platyhelminthes; Trematoda; Strigeidida; Schistosomatidae
Source: Rfam